AUACCCUACUAUACUAAACUUUAAUGAAAAACUUGAAUAUUAUAAGAUAUAGGCUUUAAAUUCAAAGAAUUUGGCGGUAAUUUAGUCUUUCCAGAGGAACCUGUUUUUUAAUCGAUACACCACGAAGAAUCUUACUUAUUCUAUUGAUUGUUUGUAUACCGUCAUUAUCAGAUAAUAUUUAAAGAUAUAAAUUAUUGAGGUUUUAAUAAAAACAAAAAUUAGAUCAAGGUGCAGCUUAUGGAUAAGUUAAAAUGGGUUACAAUUAAGUGCAUAUAAGAUGAAGUAAAAUUUGAAAUAAUUUUAUGAAGGAGGAUUUGGUUGUAAUAGGAAUUAGUAUGGUAAAAAGAUAUAAGCUCUAGAUUAUGUA
RNAcentral lists this ribosomal RNA (367 nucleotides) under Mithraculus forceps. RNAcentral's name for it is "partial 12S ribosomal RNA". Lineage: Eukaryota; Metazoa; Arthropoda; Malacostraca; Decapoda; Mithracidae. The record is from RNAcentral.